GGUCUGGGCUCAGCCGACGGGCAAGGGUGGCCUGGUGGAGCGGCCGGGGCAGCGAUGUCGCGCGGCGCCUCCCCUAUUCCGGCGGUGCUCGCACGGAGCCCUGCGGAGGGGAGGGUGAGCGAGGAGGGGGAGAGGUGGAGCGAGCGAGGCGGACGGAGUGGAGCGGCUCACGUCAGUCCCGGAGCGGCGGCAUCCUCGGCGGCGGUAGCAGGAGGCGUGCGGAGCUCUGGGACGAGUCUUCUGCGCAGCGGCAUGCGAUGAAGGAGAUGCGGGUCCUUGCGCUCGACCCCUCGGGAGGUAGCGGCCCAGCGGAAGUUGAAGGAGGGGCUGUGGCUGCUUGAGGCAGCGGGGCUAAGCGGCGGGAGGACGCGAGGAUUCGGGUAGCGGCCGGUGGCACACGGAGUGAUGGAGCUCUGACGGCCGCUGGGGGUCAAGCUGAUGCCUCAACUACUGGGGAGGAACGGUCUCGUUGGUCUACGACCUCAGGUCCUCGGUCUGCGGUGGAAGCUGCUGCUGAGGAUGAUGCGACCUCCACGGAUGAUGAUGCACGUCGGGCGACUACUGCUGGUACUCAUCAAUCCUCCUAGGGUCCGUCCUCCGGACGCGGAGAAAGCUAGACAUAGGGUCAAACACGAUCGGAAGAAUUCCUUUUGAACAAAUUGAAUACAGACAUGAGUCUAUAACAACGAAGGCGACUGAGCAGAUACUAGCUCGUAAACAUAAGCUCGGGAGCUCCGGGGACCGAACAUAAUACUACGAACAUACUGAAUAAAUACAAAAUCGCAACACAACACUAUAGAAGGGCAC
This 807-nucleotide ribosomal RNA is filed under the name Triticum aestivum (bread wheat). RNAcentral describes it as "partial small subunit ribosomal RNA". The record is from RNAcentral. Lineage: Eukaryota; Viridiplantae; Streptophyta; Magnoliopsida; Poales; Poaceae.